CUGGAGAUGAUGAUGGUUACAAGCACAUAUCUUAAUUGUUUAUGAGGAAGUACAUUUUACUGAAUCUCCAU
Molecule: small nucleolar RNA, 71 nt
Filed under: Mola mola (ocean sunfish)
Lineage: Eukaryota; Metazoa; Chordata; Actinopteri; Tetraodontiformes; Molidae
Description: Small nucleolar RNA SNORD121A (ENSMMOG00000017028.1)
Source: RNAcentral